Molecule: small RNA, 119 nt
Filed under: Salmonella enterica
Lineage: Bacteria; Pseudomonadati; Pseudomonadota; Gammaproteobacteria; Enterobacterales; Enterobacteriaceae
Also listed under: 1 other name
Description: RtT sRNA
Rfam family: RtT RNA
About the family: This family represents a bacterial cis-regulatory element known as RtT RNA. The exact function of RtT is unknown although it is thought that it may be involved in changing the cellular response in relation to amino acid starvation.
Source: RNAcentral
GUAUCUGAAGUCUGACGAGGAUGAGAACCUCCGGGGGCAAGAGGUUCUACUCGAGCGAAGCGAGAGAACGUUGCGUCAGCAACGGCCCGCAGUGGCAAGUCAUCCUCUGUCACCGGCAG